Molecule: long non-coding RNA, 901 nt
Organism: Daphnia pulicaria
Lineage: Eukaryota; Metazoa; Arthropoda; Branchiopoda; Diplostraca; Daphniidae
Exons: 2
Source: RefSeq, a predicted model, not a curated record
GUUAGAUAAUAAACAGCAUCCCGUUUGAUUCGAUAAACUAACGAUGUCGUUAGAUUUUCGUAACAUUAUCAUUCAACUUUUCUGCGGAUAGAGCACUUCUAGAUGGAUGCACUGCUGUAUUUUUUAAAGAAUCUUCUGGAGACACACAGACCCACACAGAAAGAAAAUGAAGGAAGAAUAAAGUGGCUGCUGCUAUAUGGUAACUUGAGAAACUUAAACAUAUAACAACGUCCUAUAUUACUCUCUCUCUUUCUCUCUCUCUCUCUGGUUCGUCUCUAUAGUCCACGAGUUAGUAGUCUAUUCUUGGGCAUUAUAAAGAAGAAGAAGAACAGGAGGCUCGUCUUUUGCCUAGCUCGGUAUCUCAAUCCAUCGGCAGUUGGAAGGGAGGCUCAACAGCAGCUAACGACUUAUGGGACUCUCGGAUAAAACUUGGGGGUAGACAAAAAAAAAUACUAAACUCGGAGAAACAGAGAAAAGCCUCUUGUUUGAAAGAAAACUUUCAUCCGGAUUCCGACGGAAUUUUAAGAAGAGAACAAAAGCGAGUCCUCAAAAACAACCCUUUCUUGGAUUCCAUGUCGAGUUUCUUCUUGAGCUCCUUCUCUUUUGGGACGACAAAAGGAAAGGUUGGCGUGUGAUUUCCCUUUUUUCUCGGAUGAAUUUGAAUAAGUCGUCGUCAUAUUAUUUGUAUGCCCAAAUGUUUUCUUUUUACGUUUGGAAAUCCCCCCCCCCCCCCGUAAUAAUCUGAAUAAAUUGGGACACGACAAUUCCUGGCCAGGACUCGGGUAAUAAGCCAGGACGCCACACCCUGUCGAAGCUAGUGGUGCAAUCGAAAACCAGAAAGCUCUGUUAAUAAGUCGAACCAAAUCAAAUCCAAGAAUAAAAGAUACAUAUUAUCAUAUAA